GGAAAAUAGUUACAAAGCUAUGUCGAAAACGUCUAGUUUAUUCAAACAUGUCAAAUUCAUUUAAAGACCUUUGAUCUUGUAAAGAUUAGACAAAAAAUAUCCUUAGCAAAAUAACAAGGAUAUAAAGAAUUGCUUUAGAAUAGUAAAAUUGGAUUUAGGGCAAACUCUACAUAAUGAAAUUGAAUUACCUUGUACAAGCCGUGAUGAUAAUUCUUCAAGUGAUAGACGUUGAUAUGUGCAGAGCAAAUACCUAUCCACAUUGUCACAGCUGGCAUGCGUGCUCAAAGUCAUGCGGCGGGGGAACACGUAAAAGAAUGUGUGAAUCAUGUGUUUUGUAUCAAGACAAAUGGUUCUCUGAAGGCUGCAAUGAGUUCUGCCACUACGGUCAUAGCUAUUUUUCCGGAAGAUGUCACUGUCCCUCGUGGAGAUAUGGUGAAUGUU
Molecule: long non-coding RNA, 441 nt
Organism: Mercenaria mercenaria
Lineage: Eukaryota; Metazoa; Mollusca; Bivalvia; Venerida; Veneridae
Exons: 3
Source: RefSeq, a predicted model, not a curated record